This is a long non-coding RNA of Thalassophryne amazonica, 184 nucleotides long. RefSeq lists it as uncharacterized. The transcript has 3 exons. The record is from RefSeq and is a predicted model, not a curated record. Lineage: Eukaryota; Metazoa; Chordata; Actinopteri; Batrachoidiformes; Batrachoididae.
CCGAUCUGAACCCGACUAAUGAUGGGGAUUGGGGAUUGCAAUUAUUUCCCAUGAACAAGGAAUUCCCAGUAAGCGCGGGUCAUAAGCUUGCGUUGAUUAAGUCCCUGCCCUUUGUACACACCGCCCGUCGCUACUACCGAUUGGAUGGUUUAGUGAGGUCCUCGGAUCGGCCCCGCCGGGGUCG